This 440-nucleotide ribosomal RNA is filed under the name uncultured bacterium. RNAcentral describes it as "partial 16S ribosomal RNA". It matches the Rfam family "Bacterial small subunit ribosomal RNA", at positions 338 to 795 of the family's 1533-position model. The record is from RNAcentral.
CCUACGGGAGGCAGCAGUGGGGGAUAUUGCACAAUGGGGGAAACCCUGAUGCAGCGACGCCGCGUGGGUGAAGAAGCGCCUCGGCGCGUAAAGCUCUGUCAGCAGGGAAGUAAAUGACGGUACCUGAAGAAGAAGCCCCGGCUAACUACGUGCCAGCAGCCGCGGUAAUACGGAGGGGGCAAGCGUUAUCCGGAUUUACUGGGUGUAAAGGGGGCGCAGACGGCGAUGCAAGCCAGGAGUGAAAGCCCGGGGCCCAACCCCGGGACUGCUCUUGGAACUGCGUGGCUAGAGUGCAGGAGGGGCAGGCGGAAUUCCUGGUGUAGCGGUGAAAUGCGUAGAUAUCAGGAGGAACACCGGUGGCGAAGGCGGCCUGCUGGACUGCAACUGACGUUGAGGCCCGAAAGCGUGGGGAGCAAACAGGAUUAGAUACCCGAGUAGUC